GCCUGCAUGAAGUUGGAAUCGCUAGUAAUCGCGGAUCAGCAUGCCGCGGUGAAUACGUUCCCGGGCCUUGUACACACCGCCCGUCACACCAUGAGAGUCGGGAGUGCCUGAAGUGCGUGAGCGCGAGCAGCGCCCUAGGGCAAAACCGAUGACUGGGGCUAAGUCGUAACAAGGUAGC
Molecule: ribosomal RNA, 178 nt
Filed under: uncultured bacterium
Lineage: Bacteria
Description: partial 16S ribosomal RNA
Rfam family: Bacterial small subunit ribosomal RNA
Source: RNAcentral